GAGAAUGGAAAGAAAUCAUGUGUUGCUGCUGCUGUUAGAAGAGACGGGAAACAUUGUGGAUGUGCUGAGGGAAACAUUGCUGCUGCUGCGCUUCGAAUUGGAGAAAGGGGGA
Arachis ipaensis is the source of this 112-nucleotide non-coding RNA. The record is from RefSeq and is a predicted model, not a curated record. NCBI's taxonomy places the organism in Eukaryota, Viridiplantae, Streptophyta, Magnoliopsida, Fabales, Fabaceae.